This 323-nucleotide long non-coding RNA is filed under the name Capsella rubella. RNAcentral's name for it is "long non-coding RNA (CRUB_LNC004864)". Lineage: Eukaryota; Viridiplantae; Streptophyta; Magnoliopsida; Brassicales; Brassicaceae. The record is from RNAcentral.
UUAAAUAUAUAAAUAUAUAUUAAGCUUAAUAUAUAAAGAUGUUAUAUACGAUAAUAUAUGUAGAGAUGAAUGAGAUAUAUAUGAAUCAUUUCCACUUCCUUCGUCCGAACAUGCCAUGCUUGCCUCGUUUGCCUCCGAACAUGCCGUGCUUACCACGCUUGUACUUACCACCUCCGAACAUACUGUGCUUCCCUCGCUUGUACUUGCCACCUCCGAAGAACCCUCUUUUGUAUUUUCCGUGGCCGUAACCUCCGUGAUGACCUGCGUGGUGACCUCCCAUUGCGGCCGCGGCAGCUGUUGCCGCUCCUGCUAUUAGUCCCCCG